GAUGAACGCUGGCGGCGUGCCUAAUACAUGCAAGUCGAGCGAACAGACGAGGAGCUUGCUCCUCUGACGUUAGCGGCGGACGGGUGAGUAACACGUGGAUAACCUACCUAUAAGACUGGGAUAACUUCGGGAAACCGGAGCUAAUACCGGAUAAUAUAUUGAACCGCAUGGUUCAAUAGUGAAAGACGGUUUUGCUGUCACUUAUAGAUGGAUCCGCGCCGCAUUAGCUAGUUGGUAAGGUAACGGCUUACCAAGGCAACGAUGCGUAGCCGACCUGAGAGGGUGAUCGGCCACACUGGAACUGAGACACGGUCCAGACUCCUACGGGAGGCAGCAGUAGGGAAUCUUCCGCAAUGGGCGAAAGCCUGACGGAGCUACGCCGCGUGAGUGAUGAAGGUCUUCGUAUCGUAAAACUCUGUUAUUAGGGAAGAACAAAUGUGUAAGUAACUAUGCACGUCUUGACGGUACCUAAUCAGAAAGCCACGGCUAACUACGUG
Molecule: ribosomal RNA, 497 nt
Filed under: uncultured bacterium
Lineage: Bacteria
Description: partial 16S ribosomal RNA
Rfam family: Bacterial small subunit ribosomal RNA
Source: RNAcentral